GCUAAGGUCGGGGCAGCAGCGGCGGUAAUACGGGUGGUGCAAGGUUGGCUCGGAAUUAUUGGGCUUAAAUGGCAGGUAUGUGGUCUCAUUUGUCAGGGUUGAAAGCCUUGAGCUUAACUCAAGAAGUGCCUUUGAAACGGUGUGACUGGAGUCUUGGGGAGGGUCGUGGAAUUCCCCGUGUAGCGGCGAAAUGCGUAGAGAUGGGGAGGAACACCAGAGGCGAAGGCGGCGACCUGGACAAGUACUGACACUCAACUGCGAAAGCGUGGGUAGCAAACAGGAUUAGAUACCCGAGUAGUC
Molecule: ribosomal RNA, 300 nt
Filed under: uncultured Sulfophobococcus sp.
Lineage: Archaea; Thermoproteati; Thermoproteota; Thermoprotei; Desulfurococcales; Desulfurococcaceae
Description: bacterial SSU rRNA
Rfam family: Bacterial small subunit ribosomal RNA
Source: RNAcentral